CUUUUAACAUACUCUAUUAUUUUUCUCCUCAAAGAAAAAAAGAACUUGAGCAAACAUGAUGAGAAGUCAACAGGAUCAACAAUCAAAGCUUCUUUAUGAGCUUUCUACUUUGAUUUUCAAUAUCCUCCGAUCUCCAACUACGCCCUUUGAGUUUUCCGAUCAGUCACCGGUUAUCCAACGCAGUACACAGUUGCCGACUGUGAGGCCGAUGCAGCAGAUUACUCCUGCCGGCUUUGCUUCCUUGCUUCUCGGUAUUUCUAUGGCUUUGAUGCUAUGUGGAUCUGUAACCUUCUUCAUUGGAUUUUUCAUGAUGCCUUGGAUUAUUGUGUUCGUUAUGCUUUUGUAUCUAGCUGGAAUUGUUUCUGUUUUGUCAAUGAUUGGACGAGCGAUUUUCUGCCCUAUGUCUUCAUCACAAUCGCAUAGUCAACCGUGUAAAAUAUUGUGAAACAAUUUAAACAAUUGUACUGGCACAGAACAACGGUGAGGAGUAUGGUCGUACUCUUUACUAGAUGCAGUUUCCUGCAAUGUUUAAAGAGUGUAUGGAGGAUGAAUACAUUGCAUGCUGGUGUUUGUUGCUGGAGGACACAGCUUAGGCAUUUGAAAGUGAAAAUAUUUGAUUAGCUACAACUUUACUGUAUAGAAAGACACAAAAUGGAUGUGCCAUGUUAUUUUAUCUUAGUGCAACUAUGUUGUAUUUCUUGUGCCAUUACACAUGUAGAAACAACACCCCACCCCCACCACGUCCCGAGUGAUAUUGCAACUACAAUCAAAGCUUGAUUAGUAUUUCCCUGAUAUAUGAUCAUGCCCAUUGGAACAAUAUUUGAACUUGAAAACUCACUAUCUGCUAUUGCAU
This 853-nucleotide unclassified non-coding RNA is filed under the name Hevea brasiliensis (rubber tree). The record is from RNAcentral. Lineage: Eukaryota; Viridiplantae; Streptophyta; Magnoliopsida; Malpighiales; Euphorbiaceae.